Long non-coding RNA from Homo sapiens (human), 814 nucleotides. NCBI's taxonomy places the organism in Eukaryota, Metazoa, Chordata, Mammalia, Primates, Hominidae. The record is from Ensembl.
CAGGAUGUCUGCCAGCUCCUCUCCAGCCACCCAUUCUCAUAGCGGGUGAGCCAGACCACAUCUGCUAAUCCAGGAGCACAGCUCAGGACUAGUCUAUGCGGAUGGAAUCUCUCUCCAGCCUUUUCUCUAUGUCAGUUUUAUCUACCUGGCAAGAAAAAACAAAAACAACCCCAAAACAACCCCUCCCCACAAACACAACACAAAACAAGGGACUCGAAAAGUUGGAGAAAACCUUUUAAUGUGUUUCUGUAAAAUCCUUUCUUAGGAGGUUUAGUACAGGUACUACCCAUCAGCAACUUAGCCGGCCAGGUGAGUUGGUGCAGAAGGGCUUCGGCUGAAUUUAUACCAGAGCCAUCGGGAGUGACUUGGCCACCUCUCCCAAUUACCACAAGGAAGUCUUAAAAUUGAAUUUCAGUUUCAGCAGAUACUUCAGAUUUACCUGAGCAAUAUCAUAGACAAUGUACUCAUUAUAUAGUAGACAAGUGUCAUUCACACCAGAUGAAAUCCCAGUCCCAAGAGGAACCUCUGCACCAUCCAGAGUAAUACUAGCUGAAGGGUCAGGGGUAGUUUUGCCCAAACCUUUGACACUGUGCUUGCCCUUGGGUAACUUGCUGAUAUGUGAAGCGUGCUUCAGUUCAUACAUUUUCCAAGGGCAACUUCUCCCAACAGGAUUAAGCCUGUUGGGCCUCCCUGAGAUGUAUGGCAGUAGUUGGCACUCUUGGAGGCCAUGUCAGCGAAAUAGAUCCCUUUACCAAACAUGUAGCCCGUCAUGGGCACUUCAGGCGGGGCUAUCCAAAGACCCUGGGACAGGAUC